RNAcentral lists this transfer RNA (73 nucleotides) under Canis lupus familiaris (dog). It matches the Rfam family "tRNA". Rfam says of the family: Transfer RNA (tRNA) molecules are approximately 80 nucleotides in length. Their secondary structure includes four short double-helical elements and three loops (D, anti-codon, and T loops). Lineage: Eukaryota; Metazoa; Chordata; Mammalia; Carnivora; Canidae. RNAcentral also lists the same sequence under 1 other name. The record is from Rfam by way of RNAcentral.
GCAUGGCUGGCCCAGUUGGUCGGGCAUGCAAUUCUUGAUCUCAAGGUUGUGAGUUCGAGCCCCAUGUCAGGUA